Molecule: long non-coding RNA, 709 nt
Organism: Callithrix jacchus (white-tufted-ear marmoset)
Lineage: Eukaryota; Metazoa; Chordata; Mammalia; Primates; Cebidae
Source: RefSeq, a predicted model, not a curated record
CUGGAGGGCAGCGUGGGGGAAGGGUGGGUGUAGGCGCAGCGAGAGGCAGGCGCAGAAGAUGGGAGGUGGUCAUUUUCUGCAGAUGAUUUGGGAGACAGCCAGCCCAGGGAUUGGCCAUCCAGUUUGGGGGCCAGUUCAAAUGGCUUGGAGCUAACCAAUCAGAAACUCAGGAAAGGGGCGGAAUCUGAAGAAUCAGGCCACUGCGCACUCACCUGCGGUAUGAGACUGUUUGAGACUAAGAAAAUAUACCAGUCCUCAUCAAACUUCCCCAACCAGUCUUCACAGUCCUUGAUGUUUCUUGGCUGAAGUAACUACCAAGAUGAAUGCCGAAGAGGGGUAAAGAAUUGAGCUGGCGACCAUUUGACAGUGUAGCUGAGAUAGAGAAAUACUGAUCUAGAAGGUAUGGGAAGAUCCCAGCCCUGCUGUCCUGCAGCCGUCCCAGGACCAGCCUUUUGGUCUGCAUAGCCAACAGGGUUUCCACAGCUUCCAAGAGGACAUCUGACACAGGUGUUAAGCUUUCUGAAAUAAAAAAAAAAGAUGUACACGCACACAAGAUUAGCUUUUAAACCUUCCCUGAGUGUUCAAUUAUGUAAAUGAUCACUCUCUUUCUAGACCUUCCUUCUUAGUCAUCAAUAAUCAGAGUUGGUGAUGAUCCUUCAAAGAUUUCAUGUUCGGUAGUUAUUUGAAUAAAACUAAAUUUGGCCUUUUU